CAAAUGACAAGCAAGGAGAAGCGAUAUUAAGAGGAAAAAAAAAGGGAUAAGGGAGAGAACCCAUUUGGCCUAGGGAUUCCACUACAUAAAUAAAGUAAGAAAUUAAGGGUUUGGAAACCCCAGCUUUUUGGUCAAAGAGGGGCUGUUGUUCUUGCGUGGAGAAACAAGAAAGAGUAUUGGUGGGGAACUUUAAUUUCAACCAAGGAGUUUUAAUCGAUGGAAGGAUUUUAUUUUUCAGGGAUUUUUGGCCAUAGAAAGGAAAGGAGUUUGGGUUGACAGCUUGCUAUGGAUAUUAGGAUCGAGUGAAGCCUUGAUUUUCCUUCAAAGUUUCCAUUCGCUUCUACACUAAAUCCUUGGCUAUUGAAACCACAUCAUGAGGAGCAUGGGAAUGAGGAUGAUGAUUCAGAGGCAACAGCGUGAUGUAAUUGUUAUUUAAAAUAUGUGACAGUUAUAACAUAGUCUAGAUGUUAAAAUUAUGUCACUUUUUGUUAACAUAUAUUGCCUAAUAUGACAUGUAAG
This 519-nucleotide unclassified non-coding RNA is filed under the name Hevea brasiliensis (rubber tree). Lineage: Eukaryota; Viridiplantae; Streptophyta; Magnoliopsida; Malpighiales; Euphorbiaceae. The record is from RNAcentral.